Molecule: ribosomal RNA, 468 nt
Filed under: uncultured bacterium
Lineage: Bacteria
Description: partial 16S ribosomal RNA
Rfam family: Bacterial small subunit ribosomal RNA
Source: RNAcentral
GACGAACGCUGGCGGCGUGCUUAACACAUGCAAGUCGAACGGAAAGGCCCUGCUUUUGUGGGGUGCUCGAGUGGCGAACGGGUGAGUAACACGUGAGUAACCCGCCCUUGACUUUGGGAUAACUUCAGGAAACUGGGGCUAAUACCGGAUAGGAGCUCUUGCUCCAUGGUGGGGGUUGGAAAGUUUCGGCGGUUGGGGAUGGACUCGCGGCUUAUCAGCUUGUUGGUGGGGUAGUGGCUUACCAAGGCUUUGACGGGUAGCCGGCCUGAGAGGGUUACCGGCGACAUGGGGACUGAGGUACGGCCCAGACUGCUACGGGAGGCAACAGUGGGGAGUAUUACACAAUGGGCGGAAGCGAGAGACAGCAACGCCGCGUGCGGGAUGACGGCCUUCGAGUUGAAAACAGCUUUCGCAGGUGACGAGGAGUGAGUGACGGUAAUGGAUAAAGAAGCACCGGCUAACUACGUG